GGGUUAUAGGUCAUAGGUUGGAGUUAUAAGUGGGGAAAAAAGACCUAAAAUCCCUUUUACUGAACAUUAGAGAAUUUGAUCUUCAGUAUUCAUGAGUCCACCAUACGACUCGUAUGGUGAAAGUACAAGUGAUCCUCAUGACUAGUAAGCUUGGCAAAUUCAAGAUGGUCUACUAUGGUCAUCAUACGAGUCAAACCUAUGACUAGUAACAUUACAAUUCGGCCUGUAAC
RNAcentral lists this long non-coding RNA (230 nucleotides) under Capsicum annuum. RNAcentral's name for it is "long non-coding RNA (CANN_LNC011515)". Lineage: Eukaryota; Viridiplantae; Streptophyta; Magnoliopsida; Solanales; Solanaceae. The record is from RNAcentral.